UCCAGUUUUUAAAAGCCCCCACACCGCCAUCCCUCUCAUUAGCGUUCUCUCUCGUUCUCCAUUCUCUUGCUCCUCCUUUUGGUCUCACAAACAAACUCUAAUCCCUUUUCUCCGUAAGCUCAGAAAAUACCACUUCUGAAGCUAAUGCUCGCUAUAUGUGCUUUGUCUACACCUCUUUUCACAUUAGUAUAUCGCUGUAUAUGUAUCUGUCCUAGCUAGGUUGAACAAUAAAAAUUGAGCUGAAGAAUCAUUGUCUGCAAAUUCAAUCAGUGGUUUGGCUUUUGGAAAGAAGAGGGUGAGGAUUGAUUCAUAUCAGAGACUUACUUACCUUUGUAUUUUGUAUAUUUUUCUUAUUUAUAAUAUUUUGUAAGGCAUUUGUUAAAUUGAUGUUUUUUCAAGCUCAGCCAUCGGCACAAAUGUAUCAUUAUUGGAUCAAUGAUGUUUAGAAACUGCGUUAUCUAUCUGUAAUUUCCUAAAUGGAAUUGAAGAUAAUAAUAACAUUCUGAGAUCCAGUGAUUUUAAAAAUAAUAUUUUGUCAUUGCUAUUUUUCUUCUACAAAUUCUUUUUCCCUGGUUUGAUUUGUUUUUAAAGAGUUUUGAAGGUACUUGUUAUGUACUUGUAUUUUGCAAAUGUCAGAAUGUCAUUAUCUAGCUCCAUAUCAGCUGGAGCAGUUUGUAUUAGUGUCAGUUUUACUUUUAUCGCAUGGAAGUUGCUUAAACAUCUAACAAAGCAUUUUAACACGUCUAGGCCUUGUUUGAUAUAGUAUCUUAAACCUAUGUUUUCAGUUUUUAAACAAUAUUACACAUAUUUUUACACACUUUUUCAUUCACACAUAUUUAAAAAAAAUACAAAUAAUAGUACUCAAACUUCUCUACCCCACGGAUCCAGUGGCUUGAUGAUCUUUUACGUGGCUUUUAUUUCUGUUUCAUAGCAGUUCCACAGGUAUUAUUACCUGCUGUACUUUUUAGGUUUUCCAAACAAUUUUGUAGGUAGAGCUUCAUUUAUUUCUUCCAAUGUAUUCUGGUGUAAAGAUGGGGUUGACUGUAAUUCUGUAAAGACUAUCUCUCUCUCUCUCUCUCUCUCUCUCUCUCUCUCUCUCUCUCUCUCUUCAUAUCCCUGAGUUUGAACUUGGAAGAGGGUUCCCUUGAAAGAAAGAUUCAUGAGUUUAAAGAAAAGUUUUUUAGUUGAAAUGCUGCAACUGUUAACCCGUAAAGUGUUCAUUUUUUAAUAGUGCUAACCUCUAUAAGAUAUGAAUGGAAAUUGCGCCGUUCAAAUUUC
Long non-coding RNA from Quercus robur (English oak), 1278 nucleotides. RefSeq lists it as uncharacterized. The transcript is spliced from 2 exons. Lineage: Eukaryota; Viridiplantae; Streptophyta; Magnoliopsida; Fagales; Fagaceae. The record is from RefSeq and is a predicted model, not a curated record.